This 450-nucleotide ribosomal RNA is filed under the name uncultured bacterium. Its description in RNAcentral is "partial 16S ribosomal RNA". It matches the Rfam family "Bacterial small subunit ribosomal RNA", at positions 354 to 796 of the family's 1533-position model. The record is from RNAcentral.
GUGGGGAAUUUUGGACAAUGGGCGCAAGCCUGAUCCAGCAAUGCCGCGUGUGUGAAGAAGGCCUUCGGGUUGUAAAGCACUUUUGUCCGGAAAGAAAUCUCCUGGGUUAAUACCUCGGGGGGAUGACGGUACCGGAAGAAUAAGCACCGGCUAACUACGUGCCAGCAGCCGCGGUAAUACGUAGGGUGCGAGCGUUAAUCGGAAUUACUGGGCGUAAAGCGUGCGCAGGCGGCUAUGCAAGACAGAUGUGAAAUCCCCGGGCUCAACCUGGGAACUGCAUUUGUGAAUGCAUGGCUAGAGUGCGUCAGAGGGAGGUGGAAUUCCGCGUGUAGCAGUGAAAUGCGUAGAGAUGCGGAGGAACACCGAUGGCGAAGGCAGCCUCCUGGGAUGACACUGACGCUCAUGCACGAAAGCGUGGGGAGCAAACAGGAUUAGAAACCCUGGUAGUCC